UCUUGUGUCACAAAAGCAGUCUUAUGUC
Molecule: non-coding RNA, 28 nt
Filed under: Bombyx mori (domestic silkworm)
Lineage: Eukaryota; Metazoa; Arthropoda; Insecta; Lepidoptera; Bombycidae
Source: RNAcentral